AUGUAGUGUGACAUGCCCGUUUGGGAAUUAAUCUAAUGCAUGUUUAUUUAUUAUUAAAUUGAUUUUGGGAAACGGGUGUUACAGUACA
RNAcentral lists this microRNA precursor (88 nucleotides) under Medicago truncatula (barrel medic). RNAcentral's name for it is "MIR2617 microRNA precursor family". It matches the Rfam family "MIR2617 microRNA precursor family". Lineage: Eukaryota; Viridiplantae; Streptophyta; Magnoliopsida; Fabales; Fabaceae. The record is from Rfam by way of RNAcentral.